This is a long non-coding RNA of Oncorhynchus keta (chum salmon), 2030 nucleotides long. RefSeq lists it as uncharacterized. The transcript has 3 exons. Lineage: Eukaryota; Metazoa; Chordata; Actinopteri; Salmoniformes; Salmonidae. The record is from RefSeq and is a predicted model, not a curated record.
CAGUGUAUCAAUAAAAUAAUUAUCCAAAUGGAUAUAAUUUCCUAAUUUGUCAGUAGUAGGAGCAGCUGUAUGUGUGCUAGGCAGGUGUGUGUACUGUAUGUGGUCUAGGCAGGUACGUGUGCUGUAUGUAUGCUAGGCAGGUAUGUGUGCUGUUUGUAUGCUAGGCAGGUAUGUGUGCUGUAGGUGUGCUAGGCAGGUACGUGUACUGUAUGUGUGCUGUAUGUAUGCUAGGCAGGUACGUGUGCUGUAGGUGUGCUAGGCAGGUACGUGUACUGUAUGUGUGCUGUAUGUAUGCUAGGCAGGUACGUGUACUGUAUGUGUGCUGUAUGUAUGCUAGGCAGGUACGUGUACUGUAUGUGUGCUGUAUGUAUGCUAGGCAGGUACGUGUACUGUAUGUGUGCUGUAUGUAUGCUAGGCAGGUACGUGUACUGUAUGUGUGCUGUAUGUAUGCUAGGCAGGUACGUGUACUGUAUGUGUGCUGUAUGUAUGCUAGGCAGGUAUGUGUGCUGUAUGUAUUCUAGGCAGGUAUGUGUGCUGUAUGUAUUCUAGGCAGGUAUGUGUGCUGUAUGUAUGCUAGACAGGUAUGUGUGCUGUAUGUAUGCUAGACAGGUAUGUGUGCUGUAUGUAUGCUAGACAGGUAUGUGUGCUGCAGGUAUGUGUGCUGUAUGUAUGCUAGGCAGGUAUGUGUGCUGUAUGUGUGCUGCAGGUAUGUGUGCUGUAUGUAUGCUAGGCAGGUAUGUGUGCUGUAUGUAUGCUAGACAGGUAUGUGUGCUGUAUGUAUGCUAGGCAGGUAUGUGUGCUGUAUGUAUGCUAGACAGGUAUGUGUGCUGUAUGUAUGCUAGACAGGUAUGUGUGCUGCAGGUAUGUGUGCUGUAUGUAUGCUAGGCAGGUAUGUGUGCUGUAUGUAUGCUAGACAGGUAUGUGUGCUGUAUGUAUGCUAGGCAGGUAUGUGUGCUGUAUGUAUGCUAGACAGGUAUGUGUGCUGUAUGUAUGCUAGGCAGGUAUGUGUGCUGUAUGUAUGCUAGACAGGUAUGUGUGCUGCAGGUAUGUGUGCUGUAUGUAUGCUGGGCAGGUAUGUGUGCUGUGUGUAUGCUAGGCAGGUAUGUGUGCUGUAUGUAUGCUAGACAGGUAUGUGUGCUGUAUGUAUGCUAGACAGGUAUGUGUGCUGCAGGUAUGUGUGCUGUAUGUAUGCUAGACAGGUAUGUGUGCUGUAUGUAUGCUAGGCAGGUAUGUGUGCUGUAUGUAUGCUAGACAGGUAUGUGUGCUGUAUGUAUGCUAGGCAGGUAUGUGUGCUGUAUGUAUGCUAGACAGGUAUGUGUGCUGUAUGUAUGCUAGGCAGGUAUGUGUGCUGUAUGUAUGCUAGACAGGUAUGUGUGCUGCAGGUAUGUGUGCUGUAUGUAUGCUGGGCAGGUAUGUGUGCUGCAGGUAUGUGUGCUGCAGGUAUGUGUGCUGUGUGUAUGCUAGGCAGGUAUGUGUGCUGUAUGUAUGCUAGGCAGGUAUGUGUGCUGUAUGUAUGCUAGACAGGUAUGUGUGCUGUAUGUAUGCUAGGCAGGUAUGUGUGCUGUAUGUAUGCUAGACAGGUAUGUGUGCUGUAUGUAUGCUAGACAGGUAUGUGUGCUGCAGGUAUGUGUGCUGUAUGUAUGCUAGGCAGGUAUGUGUGCUGUAUGUAUGCUAGACAGGUAUGUGUGCUGUAUGUAUGCUAGGCAGGUAUGUGUGCUGUAUGUAUGCUAGACAGGUAUGUGUGCUGUAUGUAUGCUAGACAGGUAUGUGUGCUGCAGGUAUGUGUGCUGUAUGUAUGCUGGGCAGGUAUGUGUGCUGUGUGUAUGCUAGGCAGGUAUGUGUGCUGUAUGUGUUCUGUAUGUAUGUUAGACAGGUAUGUGUGCUAUAUGUGUACUAGGCAGGUAUGUGUGCUGUAUGUGUGCUUGUCAGGUAUGUGUGCUGUAUGUUCUCUAGGCAGGUAUGCUAGGCAGGUAUGUAUGCUAGGCAGGUAUGUGUGCUGUAUGUGUGCUGUAUGUGUGCUAGGCUGGUAG